This 208-nucleotide ribosomal RNA is filed under the name uncultured bacterium. RNAcentral's name for it is "partial 16S ribosomal RNA". It matches the Rfam family "Bacterial small subunit ribosomal RNA", at positions 568 to 775 of the family's 1533-position model. The record is from RNAcentral.
CGUGUAGGCGGGGUAGUAUGUCGGAUGUGAAAGCCCUCGGCUCAACCGAGGAAUUGCGUCCGAAACUGCUACUCUUGAGUACGGGAGAGGGAAGCGGAAUUUCCAGUGUAGAGGUGAAAUUCGUAGAUAUUGGAAGGAACACCGGUGGCGAAGGCGGCUUCCUGGACCGAUACUGACGCUGAGACGCGAAAGCGUGGGGAGCAAAACA